UACGUAGGGUGCGAGCGUUGUCCGGAAUUAUUGGGCGUAAAGAGCUCGUAGGCGGCUUGUUGCGUCGGAUGUGAAAGCCCGGGGCUCAACCCCGGAGGGUCAGCCGAUACUGGCGAGCUAGAGUACGGAAGAGGUAGCUGGAAUUCCCGGUGUAGCGGUGAAAUGCGUAGAUAUCGUAAGGAAGACCAGUGGCGAAGGCGGGUCUCUGGACAGUUCCUGACGCUGAGGCACGAAGGUCAGGGGAGCAAACGGG
This 253-nucleotide ribosomal RNA is filed under the name uncultured bacterium. RNAcentral describes it as "partial 16S ribosomal RNA". It matches the Rfam family "Bacterial small subunit ribosomal RNA", at positions 524 to 776 of the family's 1533-position model. The record is from RNAcentral.